UAUCCUCUCGAUUUACACUUGGGUUUUACCCAAACAUGACGGUUUCCUGUUUACCACAACAAACGGAGGAGGUUCUCAUACAUAAAUAUGAAACAACGAGUUUUCCUCAUAUUCGUUCGUGAACUUAGACGUGCUCAAAUCUGAAUUAGGUACCUAUAUUUUUACGGUCGCACGAUUUAAAUAAAAUGAUUGUAGUUAUUGUGGCGACGCUAGUUUCCAUAACAAUGGCACAACGGCCGGGUUACAUUGCGGAACCUACCUACCCCAAAUUGGCUAGUAGAUUUCGGAAUGACAACGAAGAAACAACUGCUGCAAUUUUGAACUCUCGUUUAGGGGAAGUAGAUGGUACGACGGAAAAAAUACCUGUUGAUGCCCGUGGUGAUGCAGAUUUGGUUCAUAGAAUAAAGGAAUGGCCUAGGCAAAACAUCCCUUAUUGGUAUCUUAAUGCUGAACACAUUGAAAGACAAAGAAAUCCUCAAGGUGUAUCGCACCAAAACUCUCAAGUGCAACAAAACAGAAUCCCUGCAGAAAAUGUUCAAAGAUUGAUGGAACAACUACCAGUUAAUUCUGCUUUUCGAGAUUAUUAUCAUGACUUGAGGCCAAGAUUUGGUGUAAAUGACGUUGUUCCAAUAUUUGUGCGUCCGAUUCGACCCAUCGAAACCAGACCUUUCUUUGCAGGCCCUCUGCCCUAGAUAUCACUAACUCAUUCAUCAUAUAAAACGCCUACAAGACUGUGAAACCCAUUUUCAUAAGAUCCAAGUUUGAAGGUCACUGGCGACGUAUUUGGAACUUCCGAUUAAAUUCGUGCUCAUUGUUAUCAUUGAAUAGGUUAGUUUUUGUAUUAUUGUAGCAGCUGAGUCAUGAGAUUUUAUUUCUAUUUUUAUAUGAUAUGACACUAAUAAAACCUAUGAUGAUACGUA
Long non-coding RNA from Photinus pyralis (common eastern firefly), 920 nucleotides. RefSeq lists it as uncharacterized. The transcript has 2 exons. NCBI's taxonomy places the organism in Eukaryota, Metazoa, Arthropoda, Insecta, Coleoptera, Lampyridae. The record is from RefSeq and is a predicted model, not a curated record.